UGGGGGAUAUUGCACAAUGGGCGAAAGCCUGAUGCAGCGACGCCGCGUGGGGGAUGAAGGCUUUCGGGUUGUAAACCUCUUUCGCUAUCGAACAAGGCCCGCUUAGGGUGGGUUGAGGGUAGGUGGAGAAGAAGCGCCGGCUAACUACGUGCCAGCAGCCGCGGUAAUACGUAGGGCGCGAGCGUUGUCCGGAAUUAUUGGGCGUAAAGGGCUGGUAGGCGGCUUGUUGCGCCUGCUGUGAAAACGCGGGGCUUAACUUCGCGCGUGCAGUGGGUACGGGCAGGCUUGAGUGUGGUAGGGGUGACUGGAAUUCCAGGUGUAGCGGUGGAAUGCGCAGAUAUCUGGAGGAACACCGAUGGCGAAGGCAGGUCACUGGGCCAUUACUGACGCUGAGGAGCGAUAGCAUGGGUAGCGAACAGG
Molecule: ribosomal RNA, 420 nt
Filed under: bacterium
Lineage: Bacteria
Description: partial 16S ribosomal RNA
Rfam family: Bacterial small subunit ribosomal RNA
Source: RNAcentral